This 485-nucleotide ribosomal RNA is filed under the name uncultured bacterium. RNAcentral describes it as "bacterial SSU rRNA". It matches the Rfam family "Bacterial small subunit ribosomal RNA", at positions 28 to 507 of the family's 1533-position model. The record is from RNAcentral.
GAUGAACGCUAGCGGCAGGCCUAACACAUGCAAGUCAGGGGGCAUCACGGAUUGCUUGCAAUCUGGUGGCGACCGGCGCACGGGUGCGUAACGCGUAUACAACACCUUUUUGGAGGGGAAUAGCCCAGAGAAAUUUGGAUUAAUACCCCAUAGUAUAUAGGAAUCUCCUGAUUUUAUAUUAAACAUUUAUGGCCAUUAGAUGGGUAUGCGUCCUAUUAGCUAGUUGGUGUGGUAACGGCACACCAAGGCUACGAUAGGUAGGGGUCCUGAGAGGGAGAUCCCCACACUGGUACUGAGACACGGACCAGACUCCUACGGGAGGCAGCAGUGAGGAAUAUUGGACAAUGGGCGAGAGCCUGAUCCAGCCAUGCCGCGUGCAGGAAGACUCGCCCUAUGGGUUGUAAACUGUCUUUUACAGAGGAAGAACCCACCCCACGUGUGGGGGUUUGACGGUACUCUGCGAAUAAGGAUCGGCUAACUCCGUG